CGGCGAGUGAACAGGGAAAAGCCCAGCACCGAAGCCUGUGGUCAUUUGGUCACUAGGCAAUGUGGUGUUCAGGUCGUUCCAUAGAGGUGCUGCUCCACCCUAAGUCCAGCAAUGAGUACGGUGGUACGGACAUGGCCCACAGAGGGUGAAAGGCCCGUGGGGGUGGAGAUCAGGCAGGCCAGUGCCUCUCUGGGUAGACCUUGGAGUCGGGUUGUUUGUGAAUGCAGCCCAAAGUGGGUGGUAAACUCCAUCCAAGGCUAAAUACUUGCACGAGUCCGAUAGCGAACAAGUACCGUGAGGGAAAGUUGAAAAGUACUUUGAAGAGAGAGUAAACAGUGCGUGAAACCGCUCAGAGGUAAACGGGUGGAGUUGAACUGCAAGCUUCGGGAAUUCAGCUGGUGAGUGUGGUUUGGGCUUGGUCAAGUCGGUUGGACAUUGAGGUCUGUGUAGCGGCAGGUCUUUACUUUCGGGUAAGGAUGCGCGAUACACUUAUCAAGUGUUGUGCGCCUCUUUGUUUAUCGGGCCAAUUUGCCAGUGCACUUUCUCGGAGUGUUCACCACGACCGGCACUGCUGUCUGAUUGCUGUGGUUAAACCGGACUUACAGGGCUCUUGUGGCGUUGUAUGGCCGGGAAGGCAGGUAGCUCGUUGGCUAGCUUGCGGUUUACCGCUGGCGUUUGGUUUUCGAGUGUAAAUAGCUGACCACGAUAUUUCUGUGCAGUGUGUCGGAGACGGCGGCUUGUGGUACGUGCGUGCGUGCCGGUUCUGCUGGCGUGUCCGGGUUUGGUUGUCAUGUUGCUUGUGAAUGCAGGCCUGGCAAUGGUUCGGAUUCGUUUGGUGGGCGGUUGCGUAUGUGGUGCCGUUAAGGGCCAACAGUCUGUGGUGUAGUGGUAGACUAUCCACCUGACCCGUCUUGAAACACGGACCAAGGAGAGUAACAUGUGCGCGAGUCAUUGGGCGUAACGAAACCCACAGGCGCAGUGAAAGUAAAGGCUUGGCUUGUCCAGGCUGAGGUGAGAUCCUGUCGUUUUCACGCAUGGUGCCACCAAGCAACGAGCGGCAGGCGCAUCACCGGCCCGUCCCAUGACGUAGACACAUAAUCUUCGGACCAGUGCACCGUCGGGGCGGAGCAUGAGCGUACAUGUUGAGACCCGAAAGAUGGUGAACUAUGCUUGCGCAGGUUGAAGCCAGAGGAAACUCUGGUGGAGGACCGCAGCGAUUCUGACGUGCAAAUCGAUCGUCAAACGUGAGUAUAGGGGCGAAAGACUAAUCGAACCAUCUAGUAGCUGGUUCCCUCCGAAGUUUCCCUCAGGAUAGCACGGGUGGAGUUGAACUGCAAGCUUUCGGAAUUCAGCUGGGGAGUGUGGUUUGGGCUUGGUCAAGUC
Molecule: ribosomal RNA, 1383 nt
Filed under: Paragonimus westermani
Lineage: Eukaryota; Metazoa; Platyhelminthes; Trematoda; Plagiorchiida; Troglotrematidae
Description: eukaryotic LSU rRNA
Rfam family: Eukaryotic large subunit ribosomal RNA
Source: RNAcentral